Molecule: non-coding RNA, 84 nt
Organism: Schistocerca gregaria
Lineage: Eukaryota; Metazoa; Arthropoda; Insecta; Orthoptera; Acrididae
Source: the annotation of a RefSeq genome assembly
GCCUAUUUGGUGGAAUGGUAGACACGGUAGACUCAAAAUCUAUUUUUCUUUAUGAAAGUAUCGGUUCAAGUCCGAUAAUAGGUA